AGCAGUAGCUCAACUGGAUAGAGUAACGGACUACGAAUCCGUCGGUUGGGGGUUCGAAUCCCUUCUGCUGC
RNAcentral lists this transfer RNA (71 nucleotides) under human gut metagenome. It matches the Rfam family "tRNA". Rfam says of the family: Transfer RNA (tRNA) molecules are approximately 80 nucleotides in length. Their secondary structure includes four short double-helical elements and three loops (D, anti-codon, and T loops). Further hydrogen bonds mediate the characteristic L-shaped molecular structure. tRNAs have two regions of fundamental functional importance: the anti-codon, which is responsible for specific mRNA codon recognition, and the 3' end, to which the tRNAs corresponding amino acid is attached (by aminoacyl-tRNA synthetases). tRNAs cope with the degeneracy of the genetic code in two manners: having more than one tRNA (with a specific anti-codon) for a particular amino acid; and 'wobble' base-pairing, i.e. permitting non-standard base-pairing at the 3rd anti-codon position. The record is from RNAcentral.